This 460-nucleotide ribosomal RNA is filed under the name uncultured bacterium. RNAcentral's name for it is "partial 16S ribosomal RNA". It matches the Rfam family "Bacterial small subunit ribosomal RNA", at positions 338 to 795 of the family's 1533-position model. The record is from RNAcentral.
CCUACGGGGGGCAGCAGUGAGGAAUAUUGGUCAAUGGGCGCGAGCCUGAACCAGCCAAGUCGCGUGAAGGAUGACUGCCCUAUGGGUUGUAAACUUCUUUUAUAGGGGAGUAAAAGGCGGCACGUGUGCCGUUUUGCAUGUACCUUAUGAAUAAGGAUCGGCUAACUCCGUGCCAGCAGCCGCGGUAAUACGGAGGAUCCGAGCGUUAUCCGGAUUUAUUGGGUUUAAAGGGAGCGUAGGUGGGUUGUUAAGUCAGUCGUGAAAGUUUGCGGCUCAACCGUAAAAUUGCCGUUGAUACUGGCAGUCUUGAGUACAGUAGAGGUAUGCGGAAUUCGUGGUGUAGCGGUGAAAUGCUUAGAUAUCACGAAGAACUCCGAUUGCGAAGGCAGCAUACUGGACCGUAACUGACGCUGAUGCACGAAAGUGUGGGUAUCAAACAGGAUUAGAUACCCUAGUAGUC